GGGUUGUGAGGUUAAGCGACUAAGCGUACACGGUGGAUGCCCUGGCAGUCAGAGGCGAUGAAGGACGUGCUAAUCUGCGAUAAGCGUCGGUAAGGUGAUAUGAACCGUUAUAACCGGCGAUUUCCGAAUGGGGAAACCCAGUGUGUUUCGACACACUAUCAUUAACUGAAUCCAUAGGUUAAUGAGGCGAACCGGGGGAACUGAAACAUCUAAGUACCCCGAGGAAAAGAAAUCAACCGAGAUUCCCCCAGUAGCGGCGAGCGAACGGGGAGGAGCCCAGAGCCUGAAUCAGUGUGUGUGUUAGUGGAAGCGUCUGGAAAGGCGCGCGAUACAGGGUGACAGCCCCGUACACAAAAAUGCACAUGCUGUGAGCUCGAUGAGUAGGGCGGGACACGUGGUAUCCUGUCUGAAUAUGGGGGGACCAUCCUCCAAGGCUAAAUACUCCUGACUGACCGAUAGUGAACCAGUACCGUGAGGGAAAGGCGAAAAGAACCCCGGCGAGGGGAGUGAAAAAGAACCUGAAACCGUGUACGUACAAGCAGUGGGAGCACGCUUAGGCGUGUGACUGCGUACCUUUUGUAUAAUGGGUCAGCGACUUAUAUUCUGUAGCAAGGUUAACCGAAUAGGGGAGCCGAAGGGAAACCGAGUCUUAACUGGGCGUUAAGUUGCAGGGUAUAGACCCGAAACCCGGUGAUCUAGCCAUGGGCAGGUUGAAGGUUGGGUAACACUAACUGGAGGACCGAACCGACUAAUGUUGAAAAAUUAGCGGAUGACUUGUGGCUGGGGGUGAAAGGCCAAUCAAACCGGGAGAUAGCUGGUUCUCCCCGAAAGCUAUUUAGGUAGCGCCUCGUGAAUUCAUCUCCGGGGGUAGAGCACUGUUUCGGCAAGGGGGUCAUCCCGACUUACCAACCCGAUGCAAACUGCGAAUACCGGAGAAUGUUAUCACGGGAGACACACGGCGGGUGCUAACGUCCGUCGUGAAGAGGGAAACAACCCAGACCGCCAGCUAAGGUCCCAAAGUCAUGGUUAAGUGGGAAACGAUGUGGGAAGGCCCAGACAGCCAGGAUGUUGGCUUAGAAGCAGCCAUCAUUUAAAGAAAGCGUAAUAGCUCACUGGUCGAGUCGGCCUGCGCGGAAGAUGUAACGGGGCUAAACCAUGCACCGAAGCUGCGGCAGCGACGCUGAUGCGUUGUUGGGUAGGGGAGCGUUCUGUAAGCCUGUGAAGGUGUGCUGUGAGGCAUGCUGGAGGUAUCAGAAGUGCGAAUGCUGACAUAAGUAACGAUAAAGCGGGUGAAAAGCCCGCUCGCCGGAAGACCAAGGGUUCCUGUCCAACGUUAAUCGGGGCAGGGUGAGUCGACCCCUAAGGCGAGGCCGAAAGGCGUAGUCGAUGGGAAACAGGUUAAUAUUCCUGUACUUGGUGUUACUGCGAAGGGGGGACGGAGAAGGCUAUGUUGGCCGGGCGACGGUUGUCCCGGUUUAAGCGUGUAGGCUGGUUUUCCAGGCAAAUCCGGAAAAUCAAGGCUGAGGCGUGAUGACGAGGCACUACGGUGCUGAAGCAACAAAUGCCCUGCUUCCAGGAAAAGCCUCUAAGCAUCAGGUAACAUCAAAUCGUACCCCAAACCGACACAGGUGGUCAGGUAGAGAAUACCAAGGCGCUUGAGAGAACUCGGGUGAAGGAACUAGGCAAAAUGGUGCCGUAACUUCGGGAGAAGGCACGCUGAUAUGUAGGUGAAGCGACUUGCUCGUGGAGCUGAAAUCAGUCGAAGAUACCAGCUGGCUGCAACUGUUUAUUAAAAACACAGCACUGUGCAAACACGAAAGUGGACGUAUACGGUGUGACGCCUGCCCGGUGCCGGAAGGUUAAUUGAUGGGGUUAGCGCAAGCGAAGCUCUUGAUCGAAGCCCCGGUAAACGGCGGCCGUAACUAUAACGGUCCUAAGGUAGCGAAAUUCCUUGUCGGGUAAGUUCCGACCUGCACGAAUGGCGUAAUGAUGGCCAGGCUGUCUCCACCCGAGACUCAGUGAAAUUGAACUCGCUGUGAAGAUGCAGUGUACCCGCGGCAAGACGGAAAGACCCCGUGAACCUUUACUAUAGCUUGACACUGAACAUUGAGCCUUGAUGUGUAGGAUAGGUGGGAGGCUU
This 2140-nucleotide ribosomal RNA is filed under the name Escherichia coli. Its description in RNAcentral is "partial 23S ribosomal RNA". It matches the Rfam family "Bacterial large subunit ribosomal RNA", at positions 1 to 2157 of the family's 2925-position model. The record is from RNAcentral. Lineage: Bacteria; Pseudomonadati; Pseudomonadota; Gammaproteobacteria; Enterobacterales; Enterobacteriaceae.